GACGAACGCUGGCGGCGUGCUUAACACAUGCAAGUCGAACGGAGUGGCGAACGGGUGAGUAACACGUGGGUAAUCUGCCUUGCACUUCGGGAUAAGCUUGGGAAACUGGAUCUAAUACCGGAUAGUGCAGGCCGAGCUCGCGGCCAAUCAGCUUGUUGGUGGGGUAAUGGCCUACCAAGGCGUCGACGGGUAGCCGGCCUGAGAGGGUGUACGGCCACAUUGGGACUGGGAUGCGGCCCCGACGCCUACGGGAGGCAGCAGUGGGGAAUAUUGCAAAAUGGGCGGAGGCCGGAUGCAGCGACGCCGGGUGGGGGAUGAAGGUCUUCGGGUUGGAAACUCCUUUCGACAGGGACGCGGUACCUGUAUAAGAAGCACAGGCUAACUACGUGCCAGCAGCCGCGGUAAUAC
RNAcentral lists this ribosomal RNA (408 nucleotides) under uncultured bacterium. Its description in RNAcentral is "partial 16S ribosomal RNA". It matches the Rfam family "Bacterial small subunit ribosomal RNA", at positions 28 to 526 of the family's 1533-position model. The record is from RNAcentral.